GUUCCUAAACUGUUGGGACCUAAACUCCCAAAAUCAAUACCAACCUUCCUUUUGUAGUCAUUAACAUUGUGUUUAAAUUUCAUUGAUUUCUAUUUACUUAAACUAAAGUUAUUGUGCGAAAACCAAGAAUAAUGCUUAUUUGGGCCCUUUUUUGUCCCCUAAUUCCUAAACUGUUGAAACCAAAACUCCCAAAAUCAAUCCCAACCGUUCUUUUGUGGUCAUAAACCUUGUGUCAAAAUUUCAUAGAUUUCUAUUAACUUAAACUAAAGUUAUACUGCGAAAACCAAGAAAAUGCUUAUUUGGGCCCUUUUUGGCCCCUAAUUCCUAAAAUGUUGGGACCAAAACUCCCAAAAUCAAUACCAACCUUCCUUUU
RNAcentral lists this long non-coding RNA (373 nucleotides) under Mytilus galloprovincialis (Mediterranean mussel). The record is from RNAcentral. Lineage: Eukaryota; Metazoa; Mollusca; Bivalvia; Mytilida; Mytilidae.